RNAcentral lists this microRNA precursor (172 nucleotides) under Pelobates cultripes (western spadefoot toad). Lineage: Eukaryota; Metazoa; Chordata; Amphibia; Anura; Pelobatidae. The record is from RNAcentral.
CAGCAGACACAUUCCAGCCAAUCAGCAGCAGACCCUCCCUCUCAGUCCCUCCCACCUCCUGGACAGCAUCCAUUUUACAUUCAUUGUGAAACUGCAUUCUUAGUGAGCUGUCCAGGAAGUGGGAGGGUCUGGGAGGGAGGGUCUGCUGCUGAUUGGCUGGAAUGUGUCUGCU